GGUGUAGAUUAAUCCUACGUUACGGCCGUAGGCUAGGUUUGUAGCCCUACGCUU
Molecule: transfer RNA, 54 nt
Filed under: Bothridium pithonis
Lineage: Eukaryota; Metazoa; Platyhelminthes; Cestoda; Diphyllobothriidea; Diphyllobothriidae
Description: tRNA-Arg
Source: RNAcentral